This 774-nucleotide ribosomal RNA is filed under the name Triticum aestivum (bread wheat). RNAcentral describes it as "partial small subunit ribosomal RNA". Lineage: Eukaryota; Viridiplantae; Streptophyta; Magnoliopsida; Poales; Poaceae. The record is from RNAcentral.
AUGAGAGGAAUUCAACAUAGAAUUCACUUAAUUCUGGGAGCAAGUCUUCCUAAUCUUCCACACUAUCGAAUGAGCCCAAAGGAGCAUGAUAUAUUGAAGGAGAAAGUGCAGGAAUUGCUGCAAAAGGGGCACAUUCAAGAAAGUAUUAGCCCAUGUGUUGUACCAGCCCUGCUCACGCCUAAGAAAGAUGGAUCUUGGCGCAUGUGUACAGACAGUAGAGCUGGUAACAAGAUCACCUUAAGGUAUGGAUUCCCUAUUCCCCGCCUGGAUGAUAUGUUAGAUCAGCUUAGUGAAGCAAGAGUGUUCACAAAGCUAUAUUUGAGAAGUGGAUAUCUUCAAAUCCGUAUAAGACCCGGGGAUGAAUGGAAAACCGCCUUCAAGAAAAAGGAAGGGUUGUCUGAAUGGCUAGUCAUGCCAUUUGGACUCUCAAAUGCACCAAGUACCUUUAUGCACUUAAUGAAUCAAGUCCUUAGACCCUUCUUAUCCCAGUUUGUUGUGGUCUAUUUCGAUGAAAUCUUGAUCUAUAGCAAGGAUGAGGAUGAAUACUUUGAUCAAAUUCGGAAGGUGCUAGAAGUACUAAGGGAAAAUGAGCUCUACGUCAACUUGAAGAAAUGUGUUUUCCUACAAACACAACUUCUUUUCCUAGGAUUUGUCAUAACAUGUGACGGCAUUCGUGUUGAUGAUUCUAAGGUUGAAGCAAUCCAAGAAUGGCCAACUCCUAAGACCAUUUCUGAGGUAAGAAGCUUUCUUGGCCUUGCAACUUUCUAUAAGUGA